RNAcentral lists this ribosomal RNA (506 nucleotides) under uncultured bacterium. Its description in RNAcentral is "partial 16S ribosomal RNA". It matches the Rfam family "Bacterial small subunit ribosomal RNA", at positions 30 to 523 of the family's 1533-position model. The record is from RNAcentral.
AUUGAACGCUGGCGGCAGGCCUAACACAUGCAAGUCGAACGGUAACAGGAAGCAGCUUGCUGCUUCGCUGACGAGUGGCGGACGGGUGAGUAAUGUCUGGGAAACUGCCUGAUGGAGGGGGAUAACUACUGGAAACGGUAGCUAAUACCGCAUAACGUCGCAAGACCAAAGAGGGGGACCUUCGGGCCUCUUGCCAUCGGAUGUGCCCAGAUGGGAUUAGCUAGUAGGUGGGGUAACGGCUAACCUAGGCGACGAUCCCUAGCUGGUCUGGGAGGAUGACCAGCCACACUGGAACUUAGACACGGUCCAGACUCCUACGGGAGGCAGCAGUGGGGAAGAUUGCACAAUGGGCGCAGGCAUGAUGCAGCCAUGCCGCGUGUAUGAAGAAGGCCUUCGGGUUGUAAAGUACUUUCAGCGGGGAGGAAGGCGAUAAGGUUAAUAACCUUGUCGAUUGACGUUACCCGCAGAAGAAGCACCGGCUAACUCCGUGCCAGCAGCCGCAGUAA